Molecule: long non-coding RNA, 7315 nt
Organism: Cavia porcellus (domestic guinea pig)
Lineage: Eukaryota; Metazoa; Chordata; Mammalia; Rodentia; Caviidae
Exons: 8
Source: RefSeq, a predicted model, not a curated record
CCUGCUGCCGCGGCUGCCGCCUCUUACGUCUUUCCCUUUGCGACAAGUCGUAGCCGCUGCAGCAGAAAUAAAGGACUCGGCCGCCACCACAGCCUCUGCCGAGCAGGGUCGGGUCGCUGGAGCCGCGCCCCACCUCCGCCACUCCACUGCCGCCCACGAUGCACAGGGUGUGGUGCAGCUGCUGUGGUAGAAGGGGAGAAUUUGUGUUCUCAGGCCUUCCAAACUGAAGCAGCUUCAAAGGAUACCCCAAAUCACUUGUCCCAAGGCUGUGAUAAACAACAAACAGGAAACGUGCUUAUCCUGCUGAAGAUGGAGAUCAAAAGCAAACUCUUACAGUGAGCAAAAUUGGCCUGCUUUGCUGCCCACAGGAGGACAGCUGCUUUCUGCCGUGAAACAGAGAAACAAGGAGAAUGGGGUUUGCAGAAAGGAAAGUGUAGCAAAUGCAAAACAAAGCAGAGCUGCUUACAAGGCCCCUGGACAUGGUGGUAUAUACCUGUCAUCCCGCUGCUAGAGAAGCAGGACCAGGAGGAUUUGCAAAUACAAGGUUUUCACUACGUAGCUCAGGCGGGCCUCACAUUUGUGGCAAUCCACCUGCUGCCUCCCAAGUGUCUGGAUUACUAGUAUGUGGCAUUAUGAUGAUGUUGAUUACCCACAUCCAGCCAUUUCUGAAGCUUGACACAUCCGUGGAAUUUUCAGCUAGAUAAGUCAUCAGUGUCCCUUUUUAUCUCAUGGUUUUGGUUUGCAAACAAAAAGCAUCUACCCAUAAAUCUGCAGGACUGCAAAAGGCUGAUGAAUAUUUCUCGAGGAACCACCUGCGGGCAGUAAUUCACAGUGGCUGCCACAUACAGGUCAGGAGGGGCACCAGCCCCAUCAUCCUGGGUCUGGGGGCAUUUUGAAAGAAAUGGAACCAACAUAGCCAAAGAGACCUGAAGAGAAACAGUAGAGGACAGCAGAAAGGAGAAGUCAGCCUUGACAGGGAAUUCCCAUGACCUACCCGGGCGUUUUCUGAAGAAAAAUCCGCAGACCCCAUCUGAACCCUGCUGCAGGUCACCUGUGUAAUUAGACACCAGGAGCUGCUCUGUGUACCAGUCUGUCUCUCAUUCUGCACCUCUGGACCACAGGAUCGGAAAUCAUAUCAAACUAUGAGGACAGAAUGAGGCUGCUUUCCUAGAUGGCAUGAUUGUGGCUUUUAUUUUGCUACCCCUGACACUGCUCCAACUGCGGUGCUGGAUGCUUGGCUGGUCACUAGGAGUGGAUGCUAGCCUUUCACUGAGAAUUCUCCUGAACACAGGGAUUUUCAGCUGGCAAUGUUCCUGGAGAGCCACUUACAUGGGAAAACCAUGCUGGACCACUGCUCUCUGUUUUCCAAGAGAAAACACUAAAACCGGGUAAUAAAAGUUAAUAGAACCUAAAAAUACAGGCACUUGAUGUAGUGGUCAACUAGGUUUGCAAAAUGGCUAUGAAGGGUUGGUGAAAUGAAAGAAGACAUCCACACACAUUUUUAAAAGGUAGAGCCUCUUUGUUAAUAGCAUUUAAAAGACAAAGAGGAAGGUGUUGCUGUCUCUGUGGAUAGAAGCUAAAAUGAUUUUGAGCAGUCAUUCUAGAACCUAAGGUAAUCCAAGGCGAAUGGUAUAAAUGGGUUCCAGAAUCCAACAUACGCUCUGCAUCUCUCAGGAGGCUACUGGCCAAGGAAGCUCUCUCUUUCUCCUGUAAUACCUGGGGUUUUGUGCCUCAAAUGACAAAGACUUGGUUACAGUGGUUCUCUUUCCAAUAUUUUUAUAACUAAACAAAAUGAUCAUAAAGAUAAUUCCAGAAGCUCAAUGGGCAAGAAAAUAGGGAAAUGUUGUGUAACACGUUCCAUACCCACCAACCAACAGCACAGAGUGAGUGGUGAGUGCUUCUGCUGAGUGCGCCCAGCAGGAAGCCAAACUCUUAAAAAUAUUACUGUGGGAACUCAUCCACCUUAUCACCAGACCCAGCAACCUGCAAACCUGACUCUCCCUCAAAGUCAAAAUGACAAUGAAAGGACUUGUAUACCGGCCACAAAAUAGGUACUCUCAAAAUAUCUGCAACCAGAUGGACUGCGUUUAAUAUGCACACAGCCUGUAAAAUAGUCAUCAUUAUUCUCAGAUGGUAACUGGAUGUGUGUCUUCAAGAACACGUCCAGCUAGUCUGCAGAAGGGACACUGGAAACCCAUGUAGCAGACAGUCACACGGAUGCUUUUGUGCUGUCCCAUCCAGAGAUGCAGGGUAAUGCAAGGCUCUGCUAUUCAGAAGAUUACAGCGUGAAAGCUUCAGUGGGGAAAAUGCUCCAUAAAGAAGGCCCAGUACAAAGGGUUUUUAUGUUCUGUUUCAUUUGAGAGCUUCUUAUUGUAAUUCCGUAAAUGGUUAUCUCCUCCUCAGACUUCUAUUUCUAGCAUUUGUUCUACUGCCAUAAUGAGGAUAUCCAGCUGAAGAGCCCGGAGAAGCAGGGCUUUUCAUGAUGGAAUGUGGUCAAAGAAAGGAGAAAGAAUGUGGAGUAAAGGGGAACUACAGGAACAAGAGGAGAAACAGGCAGACAGACAGGAGGAUGGGCCCCACAUGCAGGAGAGAUCACGCAGGCCACACCAGUGCUUUUCUUCCAAGGGCUGAGUAGGAGAGAGGAAUCACAGGCCCCGUGCUUAUCAUUCUAGGAAGAAUGCCAGCUGUCCCAGGAAUGUCCCACCUGCUCUGCAGGCCUGCCUCAGACUCCAAAGAGAGGAACCGGGAAGAGGCUAAAAAGAGCUGACAAGAAAACAGAUUAAAAGUAUCAGGGCGAAUCUGCUCCGGGAUGCUGGUGGAAAUGCCAUGACAAACCGACUUAGUCCCAUUUUACACAUCUGCCAAAGUGAAAAAAUUCUCUCGUGGCCUAAGAAACAUGGCUUAGAUUGACAAAUGAAGGCAUGUUGCGUUUAAGAGAGUCUCAAGCUGGGAAGCUGAGUAUUUGCUGUUUUUAACACACAUGCAAAAAUAAAAACGUGGCACAGCUGAAAAAUACUUUCAAGUCGCACUGAUGUGUUCAGAGAUAGCGUCCUUACAAUAUGCUGGCACCAAGAGGACUUUAUGUUUCCGUGCUUAUUCUAGUGGUUUCAGAAGAAAGGGAAGUCUGCCCUAAAGCCCUUUACAUAUAAACACAUACGGCAAAAUCAUAUAAUUUUAUUUUUACAAUUAAGCCCUGCUGUUUCAAGUUCAGGAUUUACCGCGGUCUCAGGGCCUGUUUAUUGCUGAAAGGUUAUUAGCUUUCUUUUCAUAAAGAUUCAGUCCUAAUUCUAAUGUGCAUGUGCAUAUACGAGCCGUGAAUCAAGACCCAUAACUCUCACCUAAUAGCUCUAUAGUGUCUGCUGGAAGUGCACUCUAGGUAAGUACAUUUUACUGCUCUGCCGGAGCAAUUAGCUAAAGCUGUGCACACUCCCGCCAGCGCCGGUAAUGAGGAGCCACAGCUAGGAGGCGGAGAGGGGAGAGUGAAAAGGGUGCCUGAGUCAAUAGUGUGGCUCGGGAAACCAAGAAACAUCACUGCUGUGGACACGGGUAUCUAUCAUUUGGAAACCAGUCUACAUAGAGUGGUAGGGUCAACCAAACAGGACGCACUCUUCCUCCUCAAUGGGACAAACAUUGCAUACUCCUGGGCCCAGGACACAGGACACAGGACACAGCUGUUAAACAGUUGGGAUGGUGGAGAGGUCUUAAUCCGGCAAAAGCGAGCCGGUAGCACUUUGAGCUCUGCUCUCCCCACUCCGGUUCUCUUCCUCCCUCUGGGGUGUUCAUACGCGUGGGAGCCAUGCAGUCGCCAAUGCACACGUACAGCUAUGUAUGUCUCUUGUCAUCCUGCUGCACAUGGAUUCAUAGCCAUGUAUCCUUCAGCAUGUUAAUGCAGGCUAUCUCUGUGCAUUUCACAUUCAAGAAUUUAAAAGUGAGAUUUCCAAAUGAAUAAAUACGCAACUGUGUCUAACACGGGACCUGCAGAUAAUGGUGAAAAAAAAAAACAGGCUACUUUUUUCCAUUGGUGUUGCUAUAACAAAACAUGAGAGACUGGUUUAACUAAUAAACACCUAAGAUUCGAUUAUUACCGUUCUGGAGGCUGAGAGGCCCAUAGUAACGUGAAGAUCUUCAUUCUGAGUCCUCAUCUAUGGGGGCAGGGACAAAUGUGUCUGCACUUGGUCAUAGGGCAUAAGGGGGAACAGCUCUCUCACAGCGGUUUUCCAUGGGCACUCACACAACUCCUGAACACUCCACGUCCCUCCUCAAUAGUGCAUUGUCUCAGCACUGGAUUUGGGGACACACUCAGCCCCAACACAGCACAGGCUCUGUAUGGCAGCCUGGCCCAGGGAGGCUGAGGUACAGCAUGUUGUGGGAGGGCAGGGAGUGAGCUCAGUCUCAGCAAGCCAGGUAGAAAUGAAGGAGUGUCUUAGCUUGGUACAUUUACUGUGUAAGUGUGUGUGUGUGUGUGUGUGUGUGUGUGUGUGUGUGUGUGUGUGUGUGUGACUGUUACAAACAGAAGACAAUAGAUAAAGUACAAAAGACUGGGAUAAAUAAUUGAAAGUUAAUGAACAUCAGUCAUUUGUCCACAGUAUAGCUGGCAAAAGUUGUUUCUCAUCCUGUGCGUUCUCUUUCCUCUGUUGGUUGUUUCUUGGUGGUACAGAUACUUUUUAAUUUCACGUAAUUGCAUUUGUUGAUUCUUGAUGUUAUUUCUUGUGCAAUUGGGGUUUCACUCAGAAAGUCUCAGCCUAGUCCUAUGUCUUUGACAGCUGUACCAUUUUCUCUUCCAGAAAAUACUCUGCAGAUCUUUUUGUCUCUAGAAAUAAUGAAAGGCUGUACUUGUCUAAGAUGGUGAGUAGAAGCGCUUACAAGGUGACAGAAAAUAACAACAUGUAAGUCUGUAGGAGUUUCAUGGUUCACUCUUCUGUUCACUGGGAAAGAAUAGUGAGUCAGACAGAACACUGCAUAGAUGGCACGAAUAAACUGCCCCACUACUCAGAGAGAUAAGUAGCUAAUUAGUCAAAAGCAGACAUAAUCUAAUGUGGACAACCAGAGUUACAGAGAAGCCAGUUCAUAAAGCCAUGAAUAUUACUCUAUAGAACUGUAAGCAGCAUCCUAUAAAAGGAGAAAGGAACAGAAGAGAGGAACUAAAAUAAGCCAAGAGUUAAGAUAACAGAGAAGGUUUUCUUCUGGGGCUUAUAACACUGGAGUCAGUUGUUAGAACGUAGAGAUUAACAGCUAAAACAAUCACAUGGAGAAUAAGUGAUAUCUCUUCUCUACACUUCUACAUACAGUGACCCGCUGUAUUUUAUCUGCCUAACAACCUUGUAAAAUAGGGGCCGUCAUAACUGCCACUGCACAGAUAAGGCAAAGGAAGCAUGCAGAGGUGCUGUGACGUGUGCACACGCAUGUACUUUUAUUGUCUGGGGAGGGGUCAAAAAAAGAUUUCUGUACUGUUCUAGCCCAGUCCAGGGAGGAGAGUUAGCUACAGGCCAGGUUACUUAGUUAAAGGAACAAGUGUGUAUCCCAAAGUAAAGUCAACUGAGUGAGACAAUGAGUGAGGUAGCAAAAAAAUGCUAAAUGAGAUACAUGAUUUUGUAUUUCUAAAUUCCCCCAGUAACUAGUUACAAUAAGAAUAUUAAGAGCUACCAUUCAUUGACUAGGUAUAACCAGGUUUUACACUGGCAAGAGGGGGAGAGAGAGAGAGAGAUCCACACAACUCAAUAAAUACCUAAUCCAGCAUUAAAAGGCCAGAUAAAGAAAAAAAAUAAAACUAGUCAUCAAUGAUCAAGCAAGUUACAUUUAAACGACAUACACCUAUUAUCUACUAAGUUUACAGCAAAUAAAUGCAUUUUGUCUAGUAUUAAGGCAGUCAUGGAAACUAGUGUACUCAUAGUUUAUUAAUUAUACAUCCCUGGGCAUAUUAUUGCCUUCAGCAUUCAGUAUCUUCAAAUUCAAUCUUUUGAUUUAUUUUUGUAUAACAAUAACAAUAGGACUAUUGUAAAAAUUAUUGUGAAAUUUAAAUGUGCUAAUUUGUAAAACAAAAUCAUUCAUGACUUUCACAACAGUGAGCAUUUACAUGCAAGACAAACUCUGUGUUUACCAUGAUGCACUGUUAAAGAUUAGAAAUUUGUAAUAGAAAAUAAAAUUUGUAUCAAAAGUUAUAGAGAGGUCAUUAACAUAUAUGCAUCCCUGGAAUUCUAUUCUAAGGAUAUACAAAAUAUUUUGAAUAAAUACACAAAUGCAAACACAUAACUGCUCAUUGUAACACUGUAACAAUAUUUAUAACAGCAAAGAAAGACCCUAUACUAUUGAGAUUACUAAGAAAAAAAUUGCAUUUUCCUCAUUAGAAAGGUACAAUAAAAGUAACUGGCCAUGAUUUUAAAAUCUUGAUCUUGUUUAAAAAUAUCUUGGAAAAAAUGUUAGCAAAUUUUGCUUAUUUAUACUUAUAUUUUUAUUUGACUUUGCAUACACUACAACAGAAGGUUACUUCGAAUAGCAGAUUAGAAGAUGUCUAAAAUUACAGUAGUGGUUGCUUUUGAUUGGUAGAAAUGUGUCUGUGUCCCCUGUAAAAAGGGUUCCCAUGCCCGCACAGUGGCGAUGUUGAAACACACAGAGUGAUGUUUUCUCUAUUAUUUUCUCCAUCUCUCUCACCCUUAGACUCACUUCACUCUUCUUAGCAGUGAGAAAUCAAUGAAGAAUAUUUUCCUGAAAGGGCUGGGAAAUAUUGCUGUUUUAAUGUUUAUUUGUGUACUGAAUUCUGAGUUUUUUAUAAUAAUAAACUUUUUCUUUGGCAAUAGUUCUCAAUGUCAGUGAUUCAUAAAUAUUACAAGUAACAUAAAUAAUUUGCAGGUGCUCUUUGAGAACAGUAUAUCACCCUACGUAGAAGCCACCUGUUUAAAAGCUAAUAAAUAUGAAGGGAGAAAGGAACAAUGAAACACUUGAAUGAUUAUUCACUUAUUCUCUUUGAGUACAAUGACAACUGGGCUUUUCAUAAAAGACAUUAAUAGUAAAGAGGGAAAAAAAGUGCUCUAAAGGAUACAACUGCAAGUGUGUUUAGGGGUGUUAAAUAGCUGACCAUAUUAAUGUUUUUGGUUGGAUCAUUGAACACAACUGUUUGCAGCCUCUCUGUUUGAAUGCUCACUUUGUAUGCUUUGAUACUGUGUCUAAGAUGAUAUUGUGUAAUCUAUUAACUGGUGAUUUCUUGCUUUUUUUUUUUUUUUUUUUUUUGGUAGUUCUGUGUUACUUGUACCCUUACACCGCUUUGUUUUGUUUUGUUUUUUCUCUUUUUCCUUUUAAAUAAAAAUUUUUUAAAAAGACA